This 253-nucleotide ribosomal RNA is filed under the name uncultured bacterium. RNAcentral's name for it is "partial 16S ribosomal RNA". It matches the Rfam family "Bacterial small subunit ribosomal RNA", at positions 524 to 776 of the family's 1533-position model. The record is from RNAcentral.
UACGGAGGGGGCAAGCGUUAUUCGGAAUUAUUGGGCGUAAAGGGCGCGUAGGCGGCUAGAUGUGUCAAAGGUGAAAUCCCUCGGCUCAACUGAGGAACUGCCUUUGAAACUGUCUGGCUUGAGGCCGGGAGAGGGUAGCGGAAUUCCCAGUGUAGCGGUGGAAUGCGCAGAUAUCAGGAGGAACACCAAUAGCGAAGGCAGCUCGCUGGGACGUUACUGACACUGAGGCGCGAAAGCGUGGGGAGCGAACAGG